This is a small nucleolar RNA of Ochotona princeps (American pika), 104 nucleotides long. NCBI's taxonomy places the organism in Eukaryota, Metazoa, Chordata, Mammalia, Lagomorpha, Ochotonidae. The record is from Ensembl.
AUCCUUUUGUGGUUCCUAAGUGUGCUGGUUGAGUUUACACAUGUCUGUGUGACAUGUGCCUCCCUUCAACCUUGUUACGACAUUGCCACAUUACCCUUCUGACA